RNAcentral lists this ribosomal RNA (430 nucleotides) under Acidobacteriota bacterium. Its description in RNAcentral is "Acidobacteria bacterium partial 16S ribosomal RNA". It matches the Rfam family "Bacterial small subunit ribosomal RNA", at positions 355 to 776 of the family's 1533-position model. Lineage: Bacteria; Pseudomonadati; Acidobacteriota. The record is from RNAcentral.
UGGGGAAUUUUGGACAAUGGGGGAAACCCUGAUCCAGCCAUCCCGCGUGUGCGAUGAAGGCCUUCGGGUUGUAAAGCACUUUUGGCAGGAAAGAAACGUCAUGGGUUAAUACCCCGUGAAACUGACGGUACCUGCAGAAUAAGCACCGGCUAACUACGUGCCAGCAGCCGCGGUAAUACGUAGGGUGCAAGCGUUAAUCGGAAUUACUGGGCGUAAAGCGUGCGCAGGCGGUUCGGAAAGAAAGAUGUGAAAUCCCAGAGCUCAACUUUGGAACUGCAUUUUUAACUACCGGGCUAGAGUGUGUCAGAGGGAGGUGGAAUUCCGCGUGUAGCAGUGAAAUGCGUAGAUAUGCGGAGGAACACCGAUGGCGAAGGCAGCCUCCUGGGAUAACACUGACGCUCAUGCACGAAAGCGUGGGGAGCAAAACAGG